CGAGCGCAACCCUUAUUAUCAGUUGCCAGCAUGGGCACUCUGGUGAGACUGCCGGUGACAAACCGGAGGAAGGUGGGGAUGACGUCAAAUCAUCAUGCCCCUUAUGACCUGGGCUACACACGUGCUACAAUGGAUGGUACAACGAGUUGCGAACUCGCGAGAGUAAGCUAAUCUCUUAAAGCCAUUCUCAGUUCGGAUUGUAGGCUGCAACUCGCCUACAUGAAGUCGGAAUCGCUAGUAAUCGCGGAUCAGCAUGCCGCGGUGAAUACGUUCCCGGGCCUUGUACACACCGCCCGUCACACCAUGAGAGUUUGUAACACCCAAAGUCGGUGCCGCCUAAGGUGGGACAGAUGAUUAGGGUGAAGUCGUAACAAGGUAACCGUAAACGAAUCUGCAGAUAUCCAUC
RNAcentral lists this ribosomal RNA (406 nucleotides) under uncultured bacterium. RNAcentral describes it as "bacterial SSU rRNA". It matches the Rfam family "Bacterial small subunit ribosomal RNA", at positions 1093 to 1533 of the family's 1533-position model. The record is from RNAcentral.